AGACGAGGAGAUGGCGCACGAGGACAUGGAAGAGACGCCACAAGCUUCUGCGGAGGAGAACCACCAGAAGAAGGGUGAAGCGGAGGAGUUGCCACAGCCUUCUGUCGAGGAGAACGAUGAUCAGAGAGUCAAGGACGAGAUACUGGACGCGUCUACAGAUGAGAACAAUGUGGAAAAGGGAAAGGAAGAGAUGCCAC
This is a long non-coding RNA of Lolium rigidum, 197 nucleotides long. RefSeq lists it as uncharacterized. The transcript has 4 exons. The record is from RefSeq and is a predicted model, not a curated record. NCBI's taxonomy places the organism in Eukaryota, Viridiplantae, Streptophyta, Magnoliopsida, Poales, Poaceae.